RNAcentral lists this non-coding RNA (30 nucleotides) under Mus musculus (house mouse). The record is from RNAcentral. Lineage: Eukaryota; Metazoa; Chordata; Mammalia; Rodentia; Muridae.
GAACCACGACUGUGGGUCCGGCCCCUCCUU